GGGAUAGCUUGAUCGAGGGCUAUCCCAACCGAGUUUGCCAAGGCUGUUAAAAAGUUAUGUAUGCAUAAAUCAUGUUUUUAUUUUGAAAACAUAGCCGUUCCUUGGCGUUGGCUGAGUUCACCCUCAUGUGGUUGGUUUGCGUGAAGUGAAACUCUAAAGUUAUACCUCGGGAGUUACCCUACUCGCCUCUCCAAUCGAGGUAAACUAUAACGGGAUUCUGUGCCCCUCUAAUAGGCUGGUCCACAGAAAACCCGUCCACUGUAGCAAGUUAAACCCACCAUACAAUAAAAUUUGCAAUAGCAUGACAUGGCAAUUAUUUUAUUUUAUUUUACAGCCUUUCAAGACAAAUCAACAAUUUUUACAUUUCCAACACAUUUAUCAAAUCAACCAUACAUGCCAAUAUUGCCAUAAGCCAAUCAAUUAGAAUCAUGAAUUUACAACACACAAAAACAAUAUUCAAUUACUCUAUUUUCAAACCAUCAUUCAAUUUUAAAACAAUUUUAUGAAAUCAUUUCAUUAAAUCACAUUUUGUUUAUAAAAUCAAAAAAUUAAUCAUUUAAUUCAUUUUCCAUAAAAUUCACAAAAUCGAAUAAAACAUACUUUAGAUAAUUAAGAUGAUGAUAAGGUUACUCACUAUUUCAGGAGUCGAAUUCCAAGUACUCCGAUUCUUGAUCCUCGGGUACUAUCUCUUUACUUUUGGCAGAAUGCUCACCACCUAGACAUAAAGCACAAUAAGCCAUUUACUACAUUGUGCUAAAUUGUUAUAAAACCAAUUCAGACUUUAUACUAAUAUAUGAAAUGGGAUGCAAAUUGCUCGGAUUAUUGUCUAAACACGGUGCUCUACACAAAUUCAUUUGUGUACCUAAAUUAAACAGGUAUUGGCCUUAUUCGAUUUAUCGCUCGAUUAAUUGGCCAAUACGUCCAAUUCAACUCCAAAUAAUUUCAUGUUUCUCCCAAUACUCCAAAUCAUCAAAUACAAAUUAAAUAACUUGAAAUAUGACAAAAUCAUCCUCACAUUUUCUCUUGGAAAAUUCGGCCAUGGUGGGUGCAUCAACACUAUAAUUUUUCCUACUUGAUUCUCACACCAUAAAUCACUAAUUCCUAACCAAAUCACUUGAAAUAAAAUCAAAAUCAUCAUCAAUAUUCUACAUGGAGAAUUCGACCAAUGAUGGGUGAUGGGAGAACAUGAAUUUUUCUUGCUUGAUUUUCAUGCUACACAUCACCAAUCAACUAAAAACACUACAAUACAUUAAAAUCUAACCAAAUCAAGCAUCAAAACCUCUCUCCUAGGGUUUGAUCAGCACACUAUCCUUCAUGAUAUCUUGUGGUUCAAGCAUGAAAAAUGCAAAAUAAUGCAUGGGAAAGGUAGAUCACAAGUCAAAAUCAAGAAAUUUUACCUUUGAUUGCUUGAUUACUUGAAAUCCACCAAUUUUCUCUUGAAUUUUCACCCUAGGGUUCUUGUUCUUCCUUUUUCUUCCUUUGUUCUUGCUUUGGCCGGCCAUAUGAAGAGAAAUAGGCUGAUUUUGUG
RNAcentral lists this long non-coding RNA (1528 nucleotides) under Theobroma cacao (cacao). RNAcentral's name for it is "long non-coding RNA (TCAC_LNC001035)". Lineage: Eukaryota; Viridiplantae; Streptophyta; Magnoliopsida; Malvales; Malvaceae. The record is from RNAcentral.